CGCGUAGGUGGUAGUGCAAGUCUGAGGUGGAAUCCCAGGGCUUAACCCUGGAACUGCUUUGGAAACUGCAUUACUUGAGUCAGUGAGGGGAGGGUAGAAUUCCUGGUGUAGCGGUGAAAUGCGUAGAUAUCAGGAGGAAGGCCGGUGGCGAAGGCGGCCCUCUGGCGCUGAACUGACACUGAGGCGCGAAAGCGUGGGGAGCAAACAGGAUUAGAUACCCUGGUAGUCCACGCCCUAAACGGUGGGUACUAGGUGUAGGGCUCGUAAGGGUUCUGUGCCGAAGCGAAAGCAUUAAGUACCCCGCCUGGGGAGUACGGCCGCAAGGUUGAA
Molecule: ribosomal RNA, 330 nt
Filed under: uncultured bacterium
Lineage: Bacteria
Description: bacterial SSU rRNA
Rfam family: Bacterial small subunit ribosomal RNA
Source: RNAcentral